AGUGAACGCUGGCGGUAGGCCUAACACAUGCAAGUCGAACGGCAGCACAGUAAGAGCUUGCUCUUACGGGUGGCGAGUGGCGGACGGGUGAGGAAUACAUCGGAAUCUACUUUUUCGUGGGGGAUAACGUAGGGAAACUUACGCUAAUACCGCAUACGACCUACGGGUGAAAGCAGGGGAUCUUCGGACCUUGCGCGAUUGAAUGAGCCGAUGUCGGAUUAGCUAGUUGGCGGGGUAAAGGCCCACCAAGGCGACGAUCCGUAGCUGGUCUGGGAGGAUGAUCAGCCACACUGGAACUGAGACACGGUCCAGACUCCUACGGGAGGCAGCAGUGGGGAAUAUUGGACAAUGGGCGCAAGCCUGAUCCAGCCAUAUCGCGUGGGUGAAGAAGGCCUUCGGGUUGUAAAGCCCUUUUGUUGGGAAAGAAAAGCAGCAGGUUAAUACCCCGCUGUUCCGACGGUACCCAAAGAAUAAGCACCGGCUAACUUCGUG
Molecule: ribosomal RNA, 492 nt
Filed under: uncultured bacterium
Lineage: Bacteria
Description: partial 16S ribosomal RNA
Rfam family: Bacterial small subunit ribosomal RNA
Source: RNAcentral